CAGCCGCCAACUUGUUGCAUUUAUCUCAUUGACGUGGUUCCUCCAAACUUCAAAUCUCAAUGAUUAUACUUUCUUCGUCUCAAAAUAAAUGACCUAAAAGUGACUCAACUUUAUAUUAAUUUUAGUAUAAAAUUAAGUCAUUUUUAAGUCAUUUAUUUUGGGACGAAGGGAGUAUAUGCUAAUGAGAAAUAUAGUCAAGAAACUGUCAAUAACUUACAUGUAUCGGGAAUAAAGCACCCUCGGAUAUCUUCGUCAGAUAAAAACUUACUUAUAUCACAUGUACACCUGCAAACUGACAAUGAGCGGCAUCUGAGGAUGCAUGAUAAUAUAAUCAUCCUGAUUAUAUUCGUCCAGUAGCCGUUCAUUUCUUUCAUGAGGAAGCUAGUAAUACAGAUCAUUGAACUCCGUUUUUUAAACUAUACACUCCAAGAAGGCAAUGUUAAUAAGUACUCCUUUUGUUACGGUUUACAAUGCAUAGUUAAAUUUACGUACGUUUUCAUAAUAGACAAGGUUUAAUUAAAACACAUUGUAUUUACUUUUAAUAGUUAAUUACUCCCUCCGUUUCUAAAUAUAAAUCUUUUAAGAUAUUUCACUAGGAGUCCACAUACGAAGUAAAAUGAGUGAAUCUACACUCUAAAGUAUGUCUAUAUACAUCCGUAUGUAGUCCACUCAUGAAAUCUCUUUAAAGACUUAUAUUUAGGAACGGAGGGAGUAGUACUCUGAUGUACUAUUUUUAUUUACAUGCAUAGUGUGAAUGUUAUUUUUGAACCCAUCUCACAUCCAAUCAAUAACCACCUUGAUUCCAGAGAAUUUCCAAACGCGCCUUCUAAACCGUGACGGAGGGAGUAGGUCAUGUCUCUACAUAAUGGAAGACUAAAACAAGAUUAGUUAUUGCAUUGACCGUCUGGGAAAUAACAAUGUAUAAAUAGCUCAUGUACCUCAGGUUGUAUCUUAGCCUCGCAUUACUAAAAAAGACUUUCGCCCCGCUUUAUAAAUAAAGCAAAUCACCGAACCACAAUAUCCAAACAAGAGUACCAAGCACACACACGCACACGCCGUACCCGAAGUAGCACAACAACACAAGGUAUCAGGUUAAGGUUGUGGGCACAUCACAACAAGCCCAAACAAAAAGGAGGCAACAGGGUGGCGCGGCAUCAAACAAUGGGACCUCAGUCCGGCUUUGGAGGUGGAGGAGGAAGCAGCGACGCCAAGCGGAGAGCCAUCGCACGAAUACGGGAGAUGAUGGAGUUGAUGGCGUCUCUGUCCCGCGAUCGGCUAAGCGGCCGCCAGAGCUGCAGAUAUCCACACAGUUUAAACACCGCAUCAGUAGCACGUCGAAGAGGAACACGCUGAAUAACGAGCUUAUUGCGAACAGUCCACAGUGUCCAGGCUAGGACCCCCAACGUCAACCACCUAGUGUGGCGGACAGCAGUGGGUGUAGCCUGAAGUUUGGCGAGCAGGUCGGGGAAGUUUGUGUGGCACGAGUUGCCACCGACCGCCUCGCGGAAACAAUUCCAGAGGAAUUGCGCAAACACGCAAGAGAAGGGUGAUUAGAGUCCUCUCCCGUCCCACAGAGCGGGCAUAUACCUUCCCAUGGUCCGUUUCGUUUGAGGACCUCAACACCAGAGGGGAGGCGGCCACGAAGCCACUGCCACAGGAAAAUUUGAAUCUUCAAGGGGAGCCUGGUCUCCCAAAGGGCCGCGAGAGGCGUGAAACCAGGGAAGGCGCAAUUCCUGGUAAAGGGAUUUCGUAGAGAAGCAGACUGAUGGCUCCAAACGCCAAGAGAUGCGGUCGUCGGAGCGGUCCAAGUCUGCGGCGUGAAGGGCGAUGGAGUCCAGCAUCUCCUGCCAGGCAACCGUGUCAAGCGGCCCGAAAGGGCGUCGAAAGGCAAGGCGCCCGAGGCCAUUGAGGGCCACCUCCACCGAUAUCCUCGGCAUGACCGCGAUGGAGAAAAGGCCUAGGAAGCGGGCCGCAAAUGGGAGUGAGCUGGCCCAGCAGUCAAACCAGAACAAGGUGGAUGUCCCAGACCCAACAUCGACAGAGGUCCCAAUGCAGAGAACCGGGAGCAGUUGGAUGAGGGACUGCCAGAACUGAGAUCCCCCAGACCAAUGGCAACAGGCCAAAGGCUGGCCGCGAAGGUACUUAUUCUGAAUAAUGCGAAGCCAGAGGCCCCCCUCUCCCCGCGAGAUCCUCCAGAGCCAUCUAGCGAGCAGAGCGAUAUUCAUACGCUUGGAAGACAUGAUCCCCAAGCCACCCUGGUCGUGUGGUUUGCAUAUCUCCGACCAUCGAACCAUGUGGUACUUCUGCUUAUCUCCGUCCCUUGCCCAGAAGAAGCGCGCCUGAACCGUGGCGAUCUCGUGGUGAAGGGUCUCAGGCAGGCUGUAAAAGCUCAUCAGGAAGAGCAGCAAGCUGGACAGGUAGGAGUUGAUGAGGACCGUCCUGGCAACUUUCGAGAGCCAACGUCCCUGCCAAGGUUCAAUACGGUGCUGCAGCUUGGCAACCGUAGGCCACAACUCCGCCAUUGAGAGGCGGUAGUCGCUGAUGGGUAUCCCCAAGUAGGCCGUUGGGAAGGACCCAACCUGGCAAUUAAGUCGGUCGGCGAUGCUCUGGGCCGCGGCAGGGGGAUAGCCCAUGACCAUGACCGCGCUUUUAUUAAAGUUAAUCCUGAGACCCGACAUCUGUUGGAAACAUAGAAGAAGGAAUUUCAGGUGCGAGAUGUCAUCGUCCAAGCCCUCGACCAUGAUGAUCGUGUCAUCAGCGUACUGCAGAAGAGAAACGCCUGGACCACCCACCAAGUGAGGGAUGAUUUCACAAAUGCGGACGGCCUCCUUUGCCUUGUCCAGGAUGGAGGCAAGCACAUCGACCAUCAUGUUGAACAAGAAUGGGGAAAAAGGAUCGCCUUGGCGAACCCCACACAUGGUGAGAAAGUAGAGUCCGAUCUCCCCACUGAUUUUAACAACAGUACGGCCAGACGAGACCAUCUGCAUCACCCGGGUGACCCAACGAUCGUCGAAUUCCUUGCACAAGAGAACUUCCCGGAGAAAAUCUCAGCUAAAAGUGUCGUAGGCCUUAUGAAAGUCGAGCUUCAGAAAAACCGCCUUGAGGUUCCUGGAGCGGAGCUCGUGGAUGGUCUCGUGAAGGACGAGCAUCCCAUCCAAGAUGAAUCAGCCGCGGAUGAAGGCCGGCUGAUCAGGAUGGCUGAUUCUGUCGACGAGGAGGGUCACCCUAUUGGUGUACCCUUUCGCCAGGAUGCGAAAGAUGACAUUGAUCACCGUGAUCGAUCGGAAUUGGCCAAUCUCCGCUGCACCUGAAACUUUUGGAAUGAUAUAGUGAUCUUAGCCUCGCAUUCAGCGUUAAAAUAUCCAUUAUCCAUGAAGGAAGCCUUCAGACAAUCCAUGUUGAAGACACAUCGCACACAGAAAUAACACAAGCAUCUACGGUCAAGGAGAGCAGCAACGACACAGUACCCGCGCUCCUGCGACGCGCCGCCCCGGCGCCCGCAUCCACCAGUGCCGCUGCUCUCGCCGGCCAGCUCAGCUCGGCUACGGGGUCCAUCGUCCCUAGCCCGUCGAGGCUCCCAUCCCCUGCAUCGCCCCAGUUCCUGCCGGGUUUCUCGCUGCGCUCCACGGCCCGAGAUGCCCCGUCAUGCCGGUUUCAGUUCCGGUCAGCUACGGAGUCCAGACCUCUGGAGAGCGGCCCUCGUGCCUCGGCUGCCUCCCCGCAGCGCAUCGUCGAUGAGGCCUCAGGGAGGGUGCUGCCCUGCAUCACACUUCGGGAGGAGCUGGCGGAUCCGAUGAGGGGAUUCGUGGACCGGAGCUCAGGGUGCGUCCUCCCAUGCGUAGCUUUGAAGGCGAUGGAGGAGCCGCUGGGUGGCGAUGUAAGUCUCUCCACCACCCUGCUUCCUUCCUCUUCUAGGUCCUCUUCCCCCUUGCAGCCGGCAGCGACAGGGCUGCCGCUUCGUUCUGGGGAAGAUCUGGCAGGCUCUUCAAUGCCGGAUCCUCGCCCCUCCUUGAUGGCGUCGCGGGAAGGGGAGCCUGCCCGCGGGCUGGCAAGCGCCGGAGCCCCUUCAAGGCGCGCCACCCCUAUCCGCCCCAAAACGGACCUGACCGGCGUGCCCAGGCCGAGACUCCGCUCCAUUAUUGUUGCGCCGUUGGUAAGGGAGCAGGCUGGUGGGAUGGCAUGCGCGGAUGCGCCUUCAAGGAGCGAGCUCUGCGGUGUGCCAGUCUCUCAAGACCAAGCUGCUAGAGAGGAUUGGACGCUCGUCUCCUCUCGGCGCGCUCGUAUCCUGGCACGGCGGCAGGAGGAUCUGCAUCCCCAGUUGCCAAGAGUUCCAGAACGCUCUGCUCUCUCUCCCGCGGAGGCAUUCAAGAGGCGUUUCGGGAAUCGCUGUUUCCGCUGCCUAGGCUCCAGGCACAAAUCCUCCCACUGCCGCGACCCUCCAAUCUGCUACACUUGCAAGCGGACGGGCCACUUCGAGCGCGCAUGUCCCAAUCGCCACCAAAAAGAUUCAGUCCAACACCGGGUGCUUCCUCCCCAUCCUCCUGCUCCGCCUGCGGCCGCCGGAGGGUCCGCUCCACCGCUCCUGCCUGCUGCUGCUGAUCUGGGGUCUCCCGCCUACACCCAGGUCAUCGCAGCGCAAGGCCACUCGUCUGCCCCGGCGCCUAAGAUGGUUGCGGGGCUCAUUCCGGGCGCGGCGCACCGUAGGCCGGCAACCUCAACCUGCUCGGUGGUCAGCACCCCGAAGAUGGAGGACGAGUCCUACCGCCUGCGCACCACGGCGCUCCUGCUCACAGCCGCGGGUCCUUGCUCUGGCAUCACCGCGGACAUGGUGGCUGAAGCGGUGGAGCACGACCAAGGAUUACCUCGUCGGGAUAUCUGCGCUGCGCCUUGUUUCCCAGAAGACUUCCUGUUGGUGCUGUCCGAAGGCCACCAGCGUGAUCUCGUCUUCGAGCGGCGCCAGCUGGUGGUGGCCGGAGUUAAGUUUCUGCUAAGGCCUUGGUUCCCCCCGCCGGGCGGGAAUAGGGUGUGGAGAUUCUACUGCAGAGUCGCCAUCGAAGGGCUGCCCCUGAAUGCAUGGUCCUGGGACAACGUCCAAGAGGUAGUUGGCAAGAAAUGCAGGCUUGAUCUCAUCGAGCGACAGUCCACCACCAAGGCCAAUGUGUCUGCCCUCUUUGCUUGGGUGUAGGCAUGGGACCCGGAUCUAAUUCCCUAGGCAUCUGACUUUAAUGUCAUUAGCCGACCAGAUGUUGCAAGGCCGCGGAGAUCGCUGCCGGAGGGUACUCCCGCGGAGCAAGGAAAGGAAGGCCCCCAUUUCUCGGUGCUUAUUCACUUGGAUAUGGUAAAGGACUACUCGCCUGUGGAGAAUGAGGACUUGGAGUGGCCAAUAAUAUUUGAGCACAAAGACUGGAAGAUGGGGUGCAAGGAUGGUGAGCACAGGGCUCGUACUGCUGCCUCCGCUCGCUGCUCGCUAGCUGCUUGCCGUAAUGAUGAUGAUGUUGAUGACAACUACAAUGGUGGCAACAGGCAUCGGGGUAAGAGUGGCGGGGCGCGCGACGGUUUCUGGCAGGGUAUGCGGGACAAGGCUCAUUGCCGGGAUGCUGCGGCUAGUGCGCCGGCGCCUGGGAGAUACAGGAGGCAUGCUGACCCAGUGGCUCCAUCGGCACCUGCUCGUGGCAGGGCAGCUGCUCGGGACGGGCAUGGUGGCUGGCAAGGCUGUUGGACUUGCUAUGCAGCAAUCGCGGAAGAAGACCAGUAUCUUCGUUACCCCUGACUUGCAUACAAUACAGGGGCAGGAGUCCGUCGGCAAGGACAUGCAGCAGAAGCCUGAAGACAGUAUCAGUGAUGCGCUUAGUGCGACAGAUGUUCAAGUUGGGCAGGCUGGCCCAGCGGGCUCGCCAGUUUCGGUGGAUCCUCCCCCUGAUCGGAUUUGCGAUGCGGUGCAAGGGGAGGGGUACGCGGCUCAAUGGUGUCCUCCAGGCGAGUUACUGCCGCUCUUCUCGGCACCGCGCCUCACCUCGCAGGCCGGCGGCAGUGAUCACAAGGGUUGGGCUGGCUUCUUCAACGCUGAUGUGCCUCAUGGCUCCUGGGCGAGCACAUGCCAGCUAAUCAGCGCUGAACCUCGCUGCUACGAGCUGCCGCCGCUACCUCCUUCGCUGGAGUCGCCGGUCUGGGACUGGUCGGUUCUUCAGCAGCCAUCGCUGGUGCAACAAGGAUGGCCGCCGGUUUUCGGAGAGGGCAUGUACUGGCUGCCAGGUUGGGAUGCAGCCAGUCUGCAAGUGUCGCGGGCUGAGCCUUAUUGGGCGGUUGGCCCGGAAGGAGUCUUUGGGCCUGGGGCAGGAAUCAACUACGUUCCCAUCAACGAACCUCCAGUUCAAUCGGAGAAAGAGAAGCGUGCAAGACGUGCCCUUGCGGACGCAAACCUUACUGGACCUGGUCUCGUGGCUGCUAUCACGCAGAGGGUGGCCGCUCUGCAGAUUGACGAGCAGCGGGCUUUCAUUGGGAAGAUUUAUUCCCUACUGUCGGCAUCCAUUCUCAGCUCGCCGCCGCAGGCCAUCUCGUCGCGUCAAAAGAUGAAGAAGAAGCUGCUCGGCGCAGUCAAAGCACCAAGGCAGAGUGCGCGCCUUUCUCGGAUGCAGUCAAGCUUUUCAUCAUCAAGGAGGUCUCAGGAGGCCAUCUGUGUACAGCUAGGGCUCAUCAAGCGCGAAGCUGAUUUCAAUGACAGCACGCUUCGCGCCUACGUCGACUUCUUCCGCGAGCCCAUGCCACCGGAGAACGUGGCAAAACUCACACAGAUUGCAGGACUUUCCUCUCCAGCCCAGCUUCGCCUGCCAGAAUCAGAACUCCAAGCCAUCCUGGAGGAGCUCUCUGUCCGAGCUGUCUGACGCCUGAUAGGGCUGGAUCACCGUUGCAUUUCUAGUUUCCAUGAUUAGUUGCUACUCUGAAUAUCAGUUUGUAAUGUUGGCUGCACAUCUUUGUUGCGCCGCUCGUACCAAACUUUGUAUCCGUCCGUGGUUAGUUAAGUCGGCUGCGUGUCCUUGUCGCGCCAGGUACCCAAACUUCGACUGCCCUUGCUGGUGGGGCGCCCGGCACUAUGAGAAAGUUCCGUUAUGCAGUACUACCUUGUUAUCCAAUGAAUGACAACCUUGCUAUUUUUAGUUGGAACGUGAGGGAUCUGAAUGAUAAAGCUAGACGGGCUGCUUCUAGGGCAACCAUUGACAGUCUUGCCUGCUCUAUUAUAUGCCUGCAGGAGACUAAGCUGUCCGCUUGCUCCUCUGCUGACCGCACAGAAAUUGUGGGUCAACGGUUUGAUCAACACGCGUCGCGGGACACCGAUGGCUCGCGUGGGGGUAUCCUUAUGUGUUGGUGCUCUGACAAGUUAUCCGCCAGUGCGGUCGUGGCGCGACCUUUCCCGGUCACGGUGUGCUUCUCGCCGGUGGGAGGAGGUCCGGCAUGGUCCCUGACCACGGUAUAUGGCCCCCACGAUGAUCAGCGGAAGAGUGACUUCCUGGCGGAGCUAGCUGAUAUUCAUAACUCCAUGACCGGUCCGUGGCUUAUCAUUGGCGAUUUCAAUCUAAUAACGGACCCGCGAGAUAAAAGCAAUAGUAGGGUGUACCGUCGUUGGAUGUUGAAAUUCCGGCGUACACUGAACUCCUCUAAUCUACGUGAGAUCCCGCUUAUUGGGCGCAAAUUUACAUGGAGUAAUGAACAUGAUGUACCCACUCUGGUUCGCCUGGACCGUGCCUUUUGCAAUAUGGACUGGGAGUUGAUCUUCACUGCUGCCAAACUACUUCCGCAAUCAUCAGCGAUCUCCGAUCAUUUCCCAUUGCUUCUCCUCAACGAUAAGAUUGUCAAAACCAACAGGAGGUUCCGUUUCGAAUCCUACUGGCAAUUUGUGCACGGCUUCAAGGAGGUGGUGGAGCGGUCCUGGGCAGCAUAUGCUGGCAAUGCAUGCCCCAUCACCAUGUUAAACCGCAAGUUGUGGCGGUUGAGUAAGGAUCUGCGCUCGUGGAGUAAAAACAUUGUGGGCGAUUUGCAAAGACAAUUUCAUAUUAUCACAGAAAUCAUACUGCAGCUGGACAAGGCGCAGGAUUAUAGAGUUCUCUCCCAGGAGGAGAGUGAUCUGCGAUCAAGGUUAAAAGCUCGCACCCUAGGGCUUGCGGUUCUUCUCAAGAUCAAGUUGCGGCAAAGAAGUAGGAUCCUUUGGCUUAAGGCGGGUGACGCCAACACGAAGUUCUUCCAACGAAAGGCAAACGCCAGGCACAAUAAAAAUACUAUUCAUGCGCUACAGGGUCCUGUUGGAAUGAUCUCUUCUUCGGACGGCAUGACCGAACUAGCGCACAGCCAUUUUACGCAGAUUUUUGGAUGCCUUAAGCACAGAUCGGCAGCACUAAACUGGGAUGUCUUGGAUCUCGAGCAUGUGGAUCUGACCGGACUAGAGCAUGACUUUUCGAUGGAAGAGAUCAAGAGCGCCAUUAAUGCGAUUCCGGCGGAUAAGGCGCCAGGACCAGAUGGUUUCUCAGGCGGUUUCUAUAAAGCUUGUUGGGACACAGUCAAACUUGAUCUACUGGCAGCGCUGAAUCAGCUAUUCCGGAUGGACAGUCGCGGGCUAGACAGAGUGAACCACGCUUUGCUCGUUCUCCUCCCAAAGAGAAUGGGGGCAAAUGCACUGCAAGAUUUCAGGCCAAUUUCACUGCUCCAUAGCGUGAUUAAAAUCUUCUCAAAAAUACUAGCCUCCAGGCUGGCCCCAAAACUCCCUUUGCUAGUCGAUCAGUGCCAGAGCGCCUUCAUCAAAUCCCGUAGUAUUCAAGAAAACUUCUUGCUAGUUCAAAACACAGUCAGAUCUUUUCACAAAUCCAAGAAGCCGGCAGUCCUGCUAAAGCUAGACAUUGCGAAGGCCUUUGAUUCAGUAUCAUGGGCAUAACUGCUGGACAUGUUGCAAGCCAGGGGUUUUGGCCGGCAUUGGAGGGAAUGGAUUUCAAUGCUUCUGAGAACUUCUGCUUCACGGGUCCUGAUUAAUGGGCAAAUGUCGAAGAUCAUUCAACACAAGUGUGGUCUUAGGCAGGGAGACCCGUUGUCGCCAUUCCUUUUCAUUCUGGCCAUGGACCCACUGCAGAGGAUGGUGUCCGUUGCGACAGAACAAGGGGUGUUGUCAAAGCUGCCUGGACGAAGUAGGGUGCCUCGAUGCUCUUUCUACGCGGACGACGUGGCGCUAUUCAUGAAUCCAUCCGAGCGCGAUGCUAGGAUGAUCAAGCUAAUCCUAACAUGCUUUGGCUCGGCCUCUGGCCUAUUUACUAAUGCUGCUAAGAGCUCGGCUCUACCGAUACGCUGUGGCGCAAUGGAUCUUACGCAUGCCUUGGCGCAUCUGGGUUUCCCUAUACAAUAUUUCCCUACAUCCUACCUCGGAAUGCCUUUGUCUACUCGCAAGCUCACAAAGUUAGAAUUGGAUCCGCUGGUCUCCAAGUUCGGGAACAAAGCGGCUGGCUGGAAGGGUAGGCUAAUGGCCAAGAGCGGUAGACUGGUGCUGCUUAAAUCGGGUCUGUCCUCGCUUGCGAUCUACAUGAUGACGAUCCACAAACUGCCAGCCUGGGUGUUGAAGCGAUUAACUCAGAUUUGUCGCUCGUGGCUGUGGAAUGGAGACACGGUGUGCAAUGGUGGGAACUGCAGAGUUGCAUGGAAGUUGAUCUGUAGACCGAAGCACCUAGGGGGGCUAGGGGUACUCGACCUGUCAAAGUUUGGGAGGGCGCUGAGGCUGCGAUGGCUGUGGUUGGCGUAGAAACAUCCGGACCGCCCUUGGGUGAACUCUCCAUUGCCAUGUUCUAACGAGGAGAAGGAAUUGUUCGCGAUGGCCACGGAGAUUACGGUGGGUGACGGUAAGGCAACAAAUUUCUGGCAUGAUCGCUGGCUCGAGGGUUUCUGCCCAAAGUGGAUCGCCCCGUCUCUCUUCAGGAUCGCGGCGAGAAAAAUAGAUCGGUCUGGGACGCGAUUAAGGAUGAUAAGUGGUUGCAUGACUUGUCUAGGGGGCUACGAGAUGACAUGCUUGACGAGCUAUAUGCACUGGCUUCUAGGCUGGAUCAUGUGCGGCUGCAAGAGGGGCAGCACGACUCCAUCAUCUGGCGAUUCUCGCAGGACAGAGCAUAUAGUGCGCGCUCGGCAUACCGGCUACAGUUCGAGGGUGCGGUGCAAAUGGCCGGGUACAAGCUCAUCUGGCGAGGUUGGGCACCAAGCAAGUGUAGAUUCUUAGUCUGGAUGAUUAUGUUGGAUAAGAUACUGACGGCAGAUGCCCUUUUGCGAAGGGGAUGGGAUAAUGAUUAUUUCUGCCCUCUCUGUCAGAGGAACCUAGAAACGCCGUCGCAGCUAUUCGUUGACUGCCCCUGGUCAAGGAACAUCUGGAACUACAUUGCCACACUAGUGGAUAUGCCUGCCCUAUGUCCGGCUAGCUGGAAGAUGGAUUUAAAAUACUCAACAUGGUUUAACGGUAGAUGUGCGCAGACUACCAAAGAGAGGAAAAAGGGACUAAUCUCCCUGGUGCACUUGAUCACUUGGGAAAUUUGGCGGGAGAGGAACAGGAGGGUCUUUCAACGAGAACUAAUGUGGAAGGCUUCCGGUGCAGGAUUUCUGAAGAGAUUAGGCUUUGGAACUGCGCGGGAGCUGGGAUUCCCUUUGAUCCUGGUUGAGGCGUUCCUUCCUCUUAGAUCUCCUUGCUCUUGUUUUUUCCUUCUUUUUUAGUUCUUCUCUUUCGGUUUUCAGUCUCCCCUCUUAUCUUUCUCCCCUUGCCAGUCAUGCUUGGGACCGGACGCUGUACAUUGUUCCCCCCACUGAUCAACGAAUUUGGCUUUGGCCAACAUUCAAAAAAAAACAUAACACUGUGGCCUGUGGGUAACACGCACUCGCACAUGUGCGCCGUCCCUAUGGGCUUCGUUGGUGCCUACUGGAGCCGCCACCAGCUGCUUGUUGAGAGCUAUUUGAAUGUCUUGAAUGUUCAAAUGAUCUAAAAUUUGAAGGGUACCUCACACACCAAAUUAUCUAGCAUGUAAAAUAUUUUUGGAUUAUUUUUUUAUUUUCUAUAUUUUUUGUGAUUAUUUUUUUGAUCGGAUGCAGAUGAACCUAGACCCAGAAAUGGAUAUUUGUUCCCUUAUCCAUUAUCUAUAUGAAGGGGGUACGGAGUUAUGGACGUUUACAACUUAAUAAUUUUCCUAGUAUUUGAGCUGCAACUACUCCUACCCACUUGCAUGACAUCUUUGCGAACAUACACAGGACCCGUUCCUUGUGUGAAGAUGACAUGCUUAAGCCAAACAAAAGCCUUCAUACAUGCAAUAUGUAGCCCCUCAAGUUUCUUGAAUAAUUAACUAAAUUAAUGAACACAUAUUCAAACGAGAUGGCUUCUUAGUUGAGUGUACAUGAAAAAUAUACGCGGGUUCACACAUAUCAUGUGGCAGCUUGUGGAUUUUUGUAGUUUUGUUUUGAACUUUAUAAGUGUGAUUGUAGGGAUUCGGUCAUAUCUUCUUAUUUAAUUCUAAGGGUUUCAAGUCCCCUACGCUACUUCUUAAAGGAAACAAAACCAUUGAAACAAUUCCAGCGUUCAUCCACAAGUACGUUGAAGUCUACCCCGCAAAAAAAAAGGAAAUUAUUAUUUCUGUAACUUUAGUUUUUGCUAAUUUUCCCUAUGUUACUUCAGAUUUUGACAUCUCACUUUUAUCACACUUAGCUUCCCAUAUGUACCCAUUAGUGACUCGCGAUCUCUUUGUCGCUGACAUGCGGCCUAUGAUGUCUAAGCUCCAACACCGGAUUGAACCGUGGCAAGUCCGGUGAUUGUCCAAGGCGGCCAGGACCGUGCUCAUCAACUCCUCCCUGUCCAGCCUUCUCAUUUUCGUGAUGAGCUUCUACAGUCUUCAUGAGACUCUGCAUCAUGAGGUUGCCAAGUAUCAGUCUAGAUUUUACUGGGCUGGCGAGGGCGAUAAGCAGAAAUACCACGUGGUCUCGUCGGGGUCAUCUUUGUUGAAACCCUUUGGUUGUGUCUUUUGAUACUUAUGUGUGUGCGUGUGCGUGUGUUAAACCUGUGUCGAAUGUUAUGAUCUAACGGUUUGUUUUACUUAUAAAACGGGGCGAAAGCCUUUUCCGAUAAUUGCAUCAAACUGGUGUGAAUUCUCAACGCCUCUCCUCUGCGCCUAUUUCUCAAGCUCGACAUUGGCUUCUAAAAGCUACAUAUCCCCACAAGAAUUCACCAAAAUGAUACCAAACAUCGUAUGCCUUUUGUUGAUCAAACAUCAAGUAGCCAUGCAUGGAAAUACAAUCUGAAACUUGGGCACCAGUAAACAUGGAGAAAUGCCAAGGUAUACGCUGGUGUGCAUAUAUGAAACUUGGGCACCCGGGUUUUGAAAGUAAUUCUUCAAAAUAUUAAAUAACCUAGAAAAAAAAUAGUCAGUGAUAGUUCAAACUAAAAGGUUGACCGAUGCAACCAAACAAGCAAGAAAGGAACCAACGCAAACAAAUGAAGGAAUAUGCGGAUCGAGGAUGUAUAAUAGAUCAAAUUAACUGGUCCCCUGUUCUAGAAAAAAAAUGGUCGCCUGCAGUUAGUAAUGCAGUGACAGAAAUGCCCUUCCAACUUCUACCCAGCGUCCUAUAAAACCACACCCCAAGAGGAAUGCUACAUCCACACGAAGUUGCAAAGCAACAGCUAGCGCACAUCGGAAGCAGCAGCAGCCAUGAAGCUCUGCUUCUGCCUCGCCGUUGUGACCCUGGCCGCGCUUCUCUCGUCCGAGGCCGUGGUCGCCUGCAUCGACGUGGGCUUCUACGACAGGACCUGCCCGUCCGCCGAGACCCUGGUGCAGCAGACCGUGGCCGCCGCCUUCGGCAACGACUCCGGCGUCGCCCCGGCCAUCAUCCGCCUCCACUUCCACGACUGCUUCGUCAAGGUAAGCCGUAAGCCCAGCCAG
Molecule: long non-coding RNA, 12932 nt
Filed under: Hordeum vulgare
Lineage: Eukaryota; Viridiplantae; Streptophyta; Magnoliopsida; Poales; Poaceae
Description: long non-coding RNA (HVUL_LNC021719)
Source: RNAcentral